RNAcentral lists this ribosomal RNA (518 nucleotides) under uncultured archaeon. RNAcentral describes it as "bacterial SSU rRNA". It matches the Rfam family "Archaeal small subunit ribosomal RNA", at positions 912 to 1429 of the family's 1478-position model. The record is from RNAcentral.
UCAACGCCGGGAAUCUCACCGGAUAAGACAGCGGAAUGAUUGCCGGGCUGAAGACUCUGCAUGACUAGCUGAGAGGAGGUGCAUGGCCGUCGUCAGUUCGUACUGUGAAGCAUCCUGUUUAGUCAGGCAACGAGCGAGACCCACGCCAACAGUUGCCAGCAUGUUCUCCGGAAUGAUGGGGACACUGUUGGGACCGCCUCUGCUAAAGAGGAGGAAGGAAUGGGCAACGGUAGGUCAGCAUGCCCCGAAUUAUCCGGGCUACACGCGGGCUACAAUGGGCAGGACAAUGGGCUCCUACCCCGAAAGGGGUUGGUAAUCUCAUAAACCCGGCCGUAGUUCGGAUCGAGGGCUGCAACUCGCCCUCGUGAAGCUGGAAUCCGUAGUAAUCGCGUUUCAAUAUAGCGCGGUGAAUACGUCCCUGCUCCUUGCACACACCGCCCGUCAAACCACCCGAGUGAGGUAUGGGUGAGGGCACGAACUUUGUGUCGUGCUCGAACCUAAAUUUCGCAAGGGGGGUU